GCGCCGCCGGCAGAAGGUAUGGAGGCCAUGGAGGCGGUCGCCACCUGAUGGUGGGCGCUGGUCGGUCUCAAAGGAAAAAACAUAUCAUACAAAUAAUAUUACAUAUUUGCCGGGCGCCCUUCCCCAUGUUGUGCCUUGAGGUAACGAACAAAGAAAGGAAAAAAAUACACUUUGCACCCCUCACAAUUCAUCUUGAUGCUGAGUUUGCGCACUGAAAGUGUACGUGCGUGCGUGCGUGCGUGCGUGCGUGAAAAAAAACAGCGACCCCCAGUCUCAUUUGAAGUGCAGAGACCUCGAGCGCCGAGACAGCAGAGCCGCAAGAGAAGCGCUCUGCAACAGACGGGGAAUGACGUCACGGGAAGGAGCCGCUCACCCCGCCUCUGCAAGAAAGAGGAAGUUUGACGUAAAAACGAAAGUAGAUUGACAUUGGUUCAUAUUGCAUCCGAACGACCUCACGGAGCGUAGGCCUACGUGAAGUCGAAAGGCGAAAAUAUGGCAGGAUUUGGAAGUGAAUAUAUGCAGGGGGAGACCGGGAGUGGGUCUGGGCAGCCGUCCUCACCUCCGUCACUCGAAAAGGAGAGUGGCGAAUUCUACAUGGAACUUGGAAGGAUUCGCUCUGAAUUAAUCGAGAGGUUGUCGGACGACGAUGUCAUCGGUCUCCUGUAUUACCUUCGGAAGAUGGAUGUGUUGAAUGACCAGGAGAAGAAGACUGUAGAGGGGAAGAUGACCAGUAAAGACAGAGCACGUUGUCUCAUUGAUACGGUGAUGAGGAAAGGGGAGAGAAAAAGUAGGCUGAUGGUUGAUUAUCUGAAGGAGGGGCACCCUGAACUAUGGCCGACCCUGGGUCUG
This is a long non-coding RNA of Gadus macrocephalus (Pacific cod), 849 nucleotides long. RefSeq lists it as uncharacterized. The record is from RefSeq and is a predicted model, not a curated record. Lineage: Eukaryota; Metazoa; Chordata; Actinopteri; Gadiformes; Gadidae. The transcript is spliced from 3 exons.